AUAAAUACGAUGAAGAGGAAGAGUAGCCUUCCCAAAGCAUACAGAGAGCUGCUGGUUGGUGCAAAGCAGUUGCGGACGGAAUGUGAACUGGCCUUGAAGUAGCUCGCUGAAAUGUGGGAGGAUUCCUGCAAGAGUAGGUGGAGACGGAGCCUGACCGUUACAGCAGGAGGGUAUAAGGUCGAUGCAAGAGCAGAGGAGACCCGUAUCCGUUGAGUGCAUGCCGAAUCGGCAUGAAUGUAGAGUGGUACCGCGUAAGAUGAUAAAAGUCUUUCGUCUCUAGA
RNAcentral lists this non-coding RNA (281 nucleotides) under Eubacteriaceae bacterium. RNAcentral describes it as "T-box sequence". It matches the Rfam family "T-box leader". From Rfam's summary of the family: Uncharged tRNA acts as the effector for transcription antitermination of genes in the T-box leader family. T-boxes are found upstream of many aminoacyl-tRNA synthetase genes and some amino acid biosynthetic genes usually in Gram-positive bacteria. Lineage: Bacteria; Bacillati; Bacillota; Clostridia; Eubacteriales; Eubacteriaceae. The record is from RNAcentral.